This 245-nucleotide ribosomal RNA is filed under the name uncultured bacterium. RNAcentral describes it as "partial 16S ribosomal RNA". It matches the Rfam family "Bacterial small subunit ribosomal RNA", at positions 15 to 244 of the family's 1533-position model. The record is from RNAcentral.
GAUCAUGGCUCAGGAUGAACGCUGGCGGCGUGCCUAACACAUGCAAGUCGAACGAAGCACCUUACCGGAUUCUUCGGAUGAAAGUUUGGUGACUGAGUGGCGGACGGGUGAGUAACGCGUGGGUAACCUGCCCUGUACAGGGGGAUAACAGCUGGAAACGGCUGCUAAUACCGCAUAAGCGCACGAGGAGACAUCUCCUAGUGUGAAAAACUCCGGUGGUACAGGAUGGGCCCGCGUCUGAUUAG